Non-coding RNA from Danio rerio (zebrafish), 270 nucleotides. NCBI's taxonomy places the organism in Eukaryota, Metazoa, Chordata, Actinopteri, Cypriniformes, Danionidae. The record is from RefSeq and is a predicted model, not a curated record.
UAAUUACGAACACCUGACCUGCAGUGCAGCAGAAUUCAGAGAGAUGUAACUUACUCCAGAGACGCACUAACUUGCACAUCAUUGAAUAGAAAAGGCUUUGUCCAUGUCCAGUUGAGGGGCAUCAAGAACAAGCAGAUGGCCUAAACCUGUGUCAGCCUGGACAGACUGCCGUUCUGCUACUCCACACCAAGGCUUUUGUAUGGAUGUCUGACUACUACUGUGUUCUCUAAAGGUUUUCUGGAAGCUCCAUUUGAGGGCAUCAAGGACCUA